This is a long non-coding RNA of Solanum stenotomum, 393 nucleotides long. RefSeq lists it as uncharacterized. The transcript is spliced from 3 exons. The record is from RefSeq and is a predicted model, not a curated record. NCBI's taxonomy places the organism in Eukaryota, Viridiplantae, Streptophyta, Magnoliopsida, Solanales, Solanaceae.
UCGUCCAAUUUUUUUGUUCAACUUCAACUUGAGAUUAAUCCUUCAUUUUGAGUCCAAAUUAAGUGAUUCAAAAGGCAAACUUCAAGAGAAUUUCGAGGGGAAUCUAGCGGUGAUCUCGGAAACGCGAGGGGAGGCUUCGUUUGAGUGGGGAAGCAUUUGGAGACCGUUCGGAGAGGAAAAGAUCCGGUACCGUGAGUUGGAGCACGCGUGAUCGGCUUUCAGGUCCGAGCACUAGUAGCCAGCGUUGAUCGAGCUUGGAGUAGACUUAUCUGGAGACGGGGGUGAGCACACGGCGUUCUGUACUAUUUCGGUCUCCAUCUGUAUAUAUAGACUUGUCUUCUUCCCUUCGAGACAGUCCAGUCUCUGUUGUCCAGUUUUGGGACUUGUACUCAU